UGCAGUCGAGCGGUAGCACAGAGAGCUUGCUCUCGGGUGACGAGCGGCGGACGGGUGAGUAAUGUCUGGGAAACUGCCUGAUGGAGGGGGAUAACUACUGGAAACGGUAGCUAAUACCGCAUAACGUCGCAAGACCAAAGUGGGGGACCUUCGGGCCUCAUGCCAUCAGAUGUGCCCAGAUGGGAUUAGCUAGUAGGUGGGGUAACGGCUCACCUAGGCGACGAUCCCUAGCUGGUCUGAGAGGAUGACCAGCCACACUGGAACUGAGACACGGUCCAGACUCCUACGGGAGGCAGCAGUGGGGAAUAUUGCACAAUGGGCGCAAGCCUGAUGCAGCCAUGCCGCGUGUGUGAAGAAGGCCUUCGGGUUGUAAAGCACUUUCAGCGGGGAGGAAGGCGGUGAGGUUAAUAACCUUGUCGAUUGACGUUACCCGCAGAAGAAGCACCGGCUAACUCCGUGCCAGCAGCCGCGGUAAUACGGAGGGUGCAAGCGUUAAUCGGAAUUACUGGGCGUAAAGCGCACGCAGGCGGUCUGUCAAGUCGGAUGUGAAAUCCCCGGGCUCAACCUGGGAACUGCAUUCGAAACUGGCAGGCUAGAGUCUUGUAGAGGGGGGUAGAAUUCCAGGUGUAGCGGUGAAAUGCGUAGAGAUCUGGAGGAAUACCGGUGGCGAAGGCGGCCCCCUGGACAAAGACUGACGCUCAGGUGCGAAAGCGUGGGGAGCAAACAGGAUUAGAUACCCUGGUAGUCCACGCUGUAAACGAUGUCGAUUUGGAGGUUGUGCCCUUGAGGCGUGGCUUCCGGAGCUAACGCGUUAAAUCGACCGCCUGGGGAGUACGGCCGCAAGGUUAAAACUCAAAUGAAUUGACGGGGGCCCGCACAAGCGGUGGAGCAUGUGGUUUAAUUCGAUGCAACGCGAAGAACCUUACCUGGUCUUGACAUCCACAGAACUUAGCAGAGAUGCUUUGGUGCCUUCGGGAACUGUGAGACAGGUGCUGCAUGGCUGUCGUCAGCUCGUGUUGUGAAAUGUUGGGUUAAGUCCCGCAACGAGCGCAACCCUUAUCCUUUGUUGCCAGCGGUCCGGCCGGGAACUCAAAGGAGACUGCCAGUGAUAAACUGGAGGAAGGUGGGGAUGACGUCAAGUCAUCAUGGCCCUUACGACCAGGGCUACACACGUGCUACAAUGGCAUAUACAAAGAGAAGCGACCUCGCGAGAGCAAGCGGACCUCAUAAAGUAUGUCGUAGUCCGGAUUGGAGUCUGCAACUCGACUCCAUGAAGUCGGAAUCGCUAGUAAUCGUAGAUCAGAAUGCUACGGUGAAUACGUUCCCGGGCCUUGUACACACCGCCCGUCACACCAUGGGAGUGGGUUGCAAAAGAAGUAGGUAGCUUAACCUUCGGGAGGGCGC
RNAcentral lists this ribosomal RNA (1404 nucleotides) under Klebsiella quasipneumoniae. RNAcentral's name for it is "bacterial SSU rRNA". It matches the Rfam family "Bacterial small subunit ribosomal RNA". Lineage: Bacteria; Pseudomonadati; Pseudomonadota; Gammaproteobacteria; Enterobacterales; Enterobacteriaceae. The record is from RNAcentral.